CGUCAUCUUGACAGUCAUUCCCUGACUGGCUCAGAAACACAUUGACUCACCAGUGCAUCACGUUCCUGGAGGCUGUGCUAAGUCCAUGUGUACAAAAUGAACUUGUUCAAGCAUCAUUAGCGUCUUACGGUAGCAACAGCGGCACCACCAAACUCCUUCCCUGGGAACCACGCUGUUUCUCAGCGUCAAGCGGCCACAGCUCUGAACUGUGUCUCUGAGCAUCUGUGCUUCAACUCCAUUUAUUUUGUGCAUCCAUUAGCAAGAUAUGUCUUAAGUUUUUUGGCACCAAGGCAUGUCGGGAUCUUAGCUCCCCAACCAGGGGUCAAACCUGCACCCCCAGCAUUGGAAGAGAAUGACACCCGGGACCUCCUGCCCUACCUAGGACAGCCAUCACCUGAUGGAAAGGAAGAAAAACACAGUGUCAAAGCUUUGGCCACUUCUCUGUGCUGCUACCAAGAAAAAGCUUUGUGAUGGGUCCUGAUUUCUUGUGCAGAGCCCGCAGCCCCCGUCUGAUCCAGGCCACAGAAGCAUAGCCCCUGAUCUCAAGGAAGGACCACUUUUCAGAGCCCAGUCCCACCAUCCCCACGGCACACCCCCACUCCCCCCCUCCACCAUGGGGCCAGCGCCAGACUUUACCUUCGAUCACAUCCUUCCCGGUUCCCUCCCUCCUCGACCCUCCUUCCCUCGGUCUCUGACAGCUUUCUCCCGAAGGGCUGACCCUCCACAGAUCACAGGAACCCCAUCCCUGCCUCAAGCUCUGCCUCUAGGGAGCCUGUCCUAAGACAGAUAAUCUGGCUUGAGGAAAAAUGAUUUUAUUUCCUGAACAAGUUCCUGGCCUCCUGUAGUAGAUGAUCAGCAGGGACCCAGGGCUCCCAUGGUGGGGCUUCCAUAGGACUCUCCAGGCUGGCUGGCACUGUAUCCGGAUCUCAUUGUAUCUGAGAACCAGUGUUUAUCUUUGCAUCUGUGCAUCUGAAUGUCUCCAUGCCUGUGGAGGGCUGUGGCUGGCCCCCUAGCUACCUGCUGCUAGUGAAGACAGAUCGUCCUUCUGUCUUGCUCACUUGGAGGCCCUGGCGUUGAAUGCCAAAGGCCGGGCUGCAGGGUUUGGCAGAAACCCCAUCAGGGUAGCAGCCUAAAAUGAGCAACACCCGGGCUUCCCUGGUGGCACAGUGGUUAAGAAUCCGCCUGCCAAUGCAGGGCACACGGGUUCGAGCCCUGGUCCGGGAAGAUCCUACGUGCUGCGGAGCGGCUGAGCCCGUGCGCCACAACUACUGAGCCUGUGCUCUAGAGCCCGUGAGCCACAACUACUGAGCCCACACACCACAACUACUGAAGCACCAGCACCUAGAGCCCAUGCUCUGCAACAAGAGAAGCCACUGCAAUGAGAAGCCCGCGCACCGCCACGAAGAGUAGCCCCCACUCGCCACAAUUACAGAAAGCCCGCGGGCAGCAACGAAGACCCAACGCAGCCAAAAAUAAUAAAUAAAUUUAUAUAAGUAAAUUAAUUAAUUAAAAUAAAAUGAGCAACACCCA
Long non-coding RNA from Orcinus orca (killer whale), 1530 nucleotides. RefSeq lists it as uncharacterized. The record is from RefSeq and is a predicted model, not a curated record. The transcript has 5 exons. NCBI's taxonomy places the organism in Eukaryota, Metazoa, Chordata, Mammalia, Artiodactyla, Delphinidae.